Molecule: ribosomal RNA, 253 nt
Filed under: uncultured bacterium
Lineage: Bacteria
Description: partial 16S ribosomal RNA
Rfam family: Bacterial small subunit ribosomal RNA
Source: RNAcentral
UACGUAGGUCCCAAGCGUUAUCCGGAAUUACUGGGUGUAAAGCGUCUGUAGGCGGACUUGUAAGUUUUGUAUUAAUGACCAGGGCUCAACCCUGUGUUUGUACAAAAAACUGCAAGCCUAGAAUUAGGGAGAGGUAAACGGAAUGGUAAGAGUAGAGGUGCAAUUCGUAGAUACUUACCAGAACACCAAAAGCGAAGGCAGUUUACUGGAACUAUAUUGACGCUGAGAGACGAAAGCGUGGGGAGCGAACAGG